GUUUACGGCCACACAGCCUGGUUCACGCCCGAUCUCGUUUGAUCUCGGAAGCUAAGAAAGGGUGGGCCUGGUUAGUACUUGGAUGGGAGACCGCCUGGGAAUACCAGGUGCUGUAAGCU
RNAcentral lists this ribosomal RNA (119 nucleotides) under Scophthalmus maximus (turbot). The record is from RNAcentral. Lineage: Eukaryota; Metazoa; Chordata; Actinopteri; Pleuronectiformes; Scophthalmidae.